UCCAACCCAAAGUCACAAUAAGAACAGUUUGAACAAGCACCUUGGAGGGAACGGAAAGACAAAAACUCUAUCCCUUACUCCCCAAACCCAGCCAAGGACUUACUUUGUGCCAGAUCUUAACUACUUGCUGAGGAUGUGGAAAUGUACAAGGCAUGACUUCUGGUCAGCAGAUGUGGUGGAGAGGACAAACCCAAAAAUCAAAUGCCGUGUGUAAUGCACUGUAGCGUAUACAUGUGUACAUUGCGUGUGGAAAGUCAGCCUGGGAGGGAAGAACCUCCAUCCUUUCUCUGAAAAAGCACACAUCUGAGCUGGUUUUGAAGGAUUAGAAGAAGUGAAUGGGAAACGCAUGAGUGUCUGUUGAGGACAGACAGAUAAACUCUACAUGUAGGGGUAUGGAGAGCCAAAAGAUUAGUAUCAAGCAAAAGCAAAUUACUGUUUAUGGAGAACAGAGUUACAACAAUACCAGAGUCUGGCAUCUGGUGGUUCUUCCUGUCCGAUACCCACACUUCUCUCUGAAAAACAUUCUGAUUGUCCCUUAGGCCCCACUCUUUUCUCAUUUUCGGUCCCUGUGGUCUGGGUGUGAUGAACCCCACCCCAACCCUAGUUCCAAGAGUUGUCAUGAUGCCUGCAGUCAUGACCUCACAGCAUUCCAUGCACCUGGAGCCUGGAUACAGUGAUGCCUUCAGGCGCGGUAUGCCAUCACAGGCAACUCAGGAACACCUCUCCAGCCCCAGGACUUCUGCUGGAACUGCUGGGAGUUAGAAGGUUUCUUCCCAUGGAGGGGCAAACUUUCUAGGUAUCUGAAGAUGUUGAAGACCAUUUCCUGGAACCACAGCGAGAGCUUGUGGAAUGGAAUGACUCUCUAGAGUUGCAGACUGAAGGUGUAUUUUCAUCUGACUUUGGUGAUUGUGUUUCUAAUCUCUGUGGGAAUAAGGUGUGCUUGGGGUGAGGAUGGGCAAAUGUAGAACUCGCUAAACUGCCCAGUCACAUGGAGUUGCAUCUUAUUUAAAACUCAGCCAUUGCCACCCCCCUCGGGGAAUCUCUGACUUCAGUUUGAGUGUUCAGUGAAGCCUUAUGAAAAGAGGGCUCAAUCUCUAAAGUUUACAUCGAAGCUGAAUACACCCAGCAUCAAAUUAUUCCCAAAAAAGCCUCUUUAAAUCGAAACCUCCCAUAAAGAUGGUGAAGUUCUGUA
Long non-coding RNA from Sapajus apella (tufted capuchin), 1192 nucleotides. RefSeq lists it as uncharacterized. Lineage: Eukaryota; Metazoa; Chordata; Mammalia; Primates; Cebidae. The record is from RefSeq and is a predicted model, not a curated record. The transcript has 2 exons.